Molecule: non-coding RNA, 54 nt
Organism: Salmo salar (Atlantic salmon)
Lineage: Eukaryota; Metazoa; Chordata; Actinopteri; Salmoniformes; Salmonidae
Source: Rfam
UGCAUUCACUAGCGUAAGUCGCUCUGGAUAAGAGCGUCUGCUAAAUGACGUAAA